RNA transcript from Gopherus flavomarginatus (Mexican gopher tortoise), 9839 nucleotides. It is a transcript of the gene named solute carrier family 4 member 11, with no coding region annotated. The record is from RefSeq and is a predicted model, not a curated record. NCBI's taxonomy places the organism in Eukaryota, Metazoa, Chordata, Testudines, Testudinidae. The transcript has 21 exons.
AAGGGCGGGUCCGUGGAACCACCGUUCAUAAGAGCAGGUGGGGCUGCAAAUCCCUUUUCGAGUCAAUGGCAGGGGCGAGGGAGGGGUGGAUCAGGGCCUGACGGGGAAGCGUGGAGGAGCACUAGGACCCAGGCGGGGUCUUGUCAUUGUUGCUCUUCCCCUUUCAGCCCGCACUGCUUGGUGCACAAGGACUUUCAGUUUUGGCUGCGCUGCUGCUGCUUCUUUCAAAAAAAAAAAAAAAAGUCUUGAAGUGUCAGGAGCAGGAUGGUGGAGAUGGGGUGAGAGCCACGCAGCCAUGGCAGCAGCGAAGCGGGUUUUCCACCUCCAGCCAUGCGAAAGUCCUCCGGCAGCGAUGUCCAGAAAUGGGUAUUUUUUUGAAGAGACUGGUUAUCUUAAAUGUGACACCGAUGACGGCUGUGAGAACAAAGAAGAAGUAGGAGGAGAAGAGCUCUUUGACACUGUAAAUUCCUCAAUUGUUUCCGGGGACAGCAUCAGAUUCUUUGUGAAUGUCAAUUUAGAAGUACAACAGAAUGUAACUGUAGAAAGUGAAAGUGCUGGCUGUGUUUUAUUACAUACAUCUAGAAAGUACCUGAAGCUAAAGAAUUUUGAGGAAGAAGUCAGAGCCCACCGUGACCUGGAUGGGUUCCUGGCCAGAGCUAUCAUCAUACUGGAUGAGACAGCAACCUCCUUGGAUGAUGUCCUUCGAGAGAUGCUGAAACACUUUGCUGAAGAUUCUGACAACACAGAGCCAAGCUGCAACUUUGACAAAAUAAUGAGCACUUUAUUCACCGAUUCGGGAGCCCCCAGAGAAGGGAAUGUUCACCUCCUAUCCGAUACAAUUCAGGGGGUCACAGCAACCGUCACAGGGGUUCAAUAUCAACAGUCCUGGCUCUGUAUCAUUUGCACUAUAAAGUCUCUUCAGCGACGUCAUGUUUGCAUCAGCCGCCUGGAGAGGCCUCAGAACUGGGGGGAGAACUCCUGUGAAGUGAGAUUUGUCAUCUUGGUUCUUGCGCCUCCUAAAAUGAAAAGUACAAAAACUGCCACUGAAGUGGGCCGGACCUUCGCCACGAUGUUUUCAGAUAUAACUUUUCGGCAGAAGCUUCUAGAAACAAAAACCGAAGAAGAAUUUAAAGAAGCCUUGGUACAUCAGCGCCACCUGCUGACGGUGGUGAAUCAGAGACCCUCAGCCGUGAACGAGGGGCACAAAACACACAGCCACAAGCCGCUCAAGUUGCAUGAGUUUUUCAAUGUUGGCAAGGGAAUAUUUGAUGACAUAGCACGAAGAUUUCCAGUGUACGCUUUGGACUUCACUGACGGGAUUAUUGGGAAUAACAAGGCCAUAGGAAAAUACAUCACAACGAUGAUCUUUUUAUAUUUUGCCUGCCUCCUGCCAUCCAUUGCAUUUGGUUCCCUAAAUGAUGAAAACACAAGAGGAGUUAUUGAUGUGCAGAAGACAAUUGUUGGCCAGUGUAUCGGUGGACUUCUUUAUGCUCUGUUUUCAGGGCAGCCGCUAGUUGUACUCUUAACCACAGCUCCUUUAGCCUUGUACAUCAAUGUGAUCCGAGGGAUCUGUGAUGACUACAGCUUGGAUUUUAGUGCUUUCUACGCCUGGAUUGGACUGUGGAACAGUUUUUUUCUUGUGCUGUAUUCUCUCUUUAACUUCAGUCUUGUAAUGAAGCUCUUUAAAAGAUCAACCGAAGAAAUCAUUGCACUUUUUAUAUCGAUCACAUUUGUGCUUGAUGCACUCAAAGGGAUUACUAAAGUUUUUAAGAAAUAUUACUACCAUGAGCACCAAGGAGACAGUUACUUGGAAAGUACACGUGCUGAUGUAAUUCCAAGCCUCAGCAUCAAUACCACCUUCUUGAUGAAUUCAUCAGUGAGCAGGUCUUUGUCGCUGGAGAAUCAGACGGGCAUGAAUGAGGUUGUGCAUUAUGGACGUGAAACUGCUGUCCUUAGUCUCAUGUUGAUGCUGGGAACCCUUUGGCUUGGUCAUACACUUUAUCAGUUUAAGAAAAGCCCCUAUCUGCAUGCAAGGGUCCGUGAAAUCCUGUCCGACUGUGCCUUACCCAUAUCCGUUCUAACCUUCUCCAUCGUAGGCUCCUACUUCUUCAAGGAAAUAGAAAUGUCCAAAUUUAACUACAACCCAUCUGAGAGCUUAUUCGUCCUGGCCCCAAUCCAGUCUCUCUCAAUUGGCUCUGUAAUGAGUGCCAUGGGCCUGGGCUUCCUUCUGUCGAUGCUUUUCUUCAUAGAGCAGAAUAUAGUGGCAUCACUCACAAAUGCUCCAGAGAACAGAGUUUAUUUCAGGUUAGUGAAAGGAACAGCUUAUCACUGGGACCUCCUCCUUGUAGCUCUGAUUAACACGGGACUGUCUGUCUUUGGAUUGCCAUGGAUACAUGCUGCGUUCCCUCAUUCCCCAAUGCACGUCCGGGCACUGGCCUACGUGGAAGAGAGGGUUGAAAACGGGCACAUCUAUGAGACGAUAGUGAGCGUGAAGGAGACACGACUGACUACACUGGUGGCCAACUUCUUGGUGGGUCUCUCACUCUUCCUCCUGCCCUUCCCACUGCAGUGGAUCCCAAAGCCAGUCCUCUAUGGCCUCUUCUUAUACAUCGCCCUGACCUCCAUUGAUGGGAAUCAACUCUUCGAGAGGGUGGCCCUCUUGCUGAAAGAACAGACGGCUUACCCUCCGACACAUUACAUCCGCAGGGUCCCUCAGAGGAAGAUCCACUAUUUCACAGGCCUACAGGUUCUUCAGCUCCUCAUCCUCUGUGGGUUUGGGAUGUCACCAUUACCGUACAUGAAGAUGAUUUUUCCUCUCAUUAUGAUAGGAAUGAUCCCAAUCAGGUAUAACCUGCUUCCUAGGAUCAUUGAAGCAAAAUACUUAGAUGCUAUGGAUGCUGAGCACUAAAAGUGAAUCUCUGCUCUGAGAACAGCGAACAGCUUUUCAAAUCAAAAGGAAAUGGCAGCCUUGCUGAGAUGUAGAAUUAUUUAUCUGAAGUUCUUGUGUUUAGAACCUCCAGGACUCACUUUCUGCUCUAGUCUGGCACUUGGAGAUAUACGAUUGAAGACCGAUUGGCCAUUUAAGUUUCAGAUCAAAACAGCCUUGGAUUGAGAGGCCAGUACUCUUCUGAGUUUUGAGGCAAGCCAGCUUUAUGGAAAUGUUACCUUCUUCAUCCUAAAACUUGAAGUCCCACAGAUCAAUGUGUUUCUCUUGUUGGAUUGUGCUAUGCUAGGGUUGCCUCACGUUCCCUUUUUUAAGGGGUUUCCCUUUUUUAUACACUGUGUCCCUUUUCCCAGAACACUAUUGAGAUGUAAGGACAGUAAUCAACCCUUGCUUUACAGAAUUACUGAAUAAUUUGGAGCUUUAAUGCAAUUACCCAUCUCUCCAGUUCAUAUUCCAAAAGGAUAGCUCUAUGUCAGAGGAUCUCGUCAAGUUAUUGAUUAGUGGAUGGGCUGGGAAGCAAAAGAAUAUGGUUGUGCUGAGGAUUGUGUAUUAUUUAAUUUCUUCAUGUGUACCAGAAAUGUUCAGAGGUUGGAUUCGCUUUGUGAUGCUGAUGUAAUUACAGCUGGGUCUAAGCCGCUUGAGAAUUAGUUCAACCUAUUUUACACUGUUACUUCUCAGUAAUCAAAUAUAGAAUUGUAGGUAUGUACAGCAGCAACCUUUUUGGUUGUGCUCAAAUUCACCUGGAUGCUGAAAUGUGGCAAAAUUCAGUCAUGCGCAUUAAUGUUCACAUAUACAUAUGUACAGAACGGCCUAUGUGUACAUAUAUACAUACAUAACUUAGAUUGGUGUAUAUAUUUUGCAUAUAUAUUAUACAUAUAUUGGAUAUCUAGGCAUAUUCUUUCAAGAUAUUGAAAGUGUUCUUGUGCAAUCAGUGUUACCUGUACUAUGUUGACAUACAUUUGUCCUUUGCUUCGGUGCUUCUUUUUUCUUCUUCAAAGCCCUUCUUUGUCAAACUGCAUUAACCCAAUUACUGAUUUUUUUUAAACAUACUGCUACAUUCAAACUUUCCUUCGUUUUCCUCUAGUCCUUUGGCUUUUGUGACCUGCAUCAUCCUGUCUGAAUGCUUUCUGACGUGAAUUUUCCAUUUAAUUUUAAUGUACCGUAUGUAGUGAAAGUUGGUUGUUUUCUAAUCAAUAUUUGUUUGUCACUUCACUGUUUCAGUUUUGUAGCUAUCUCUCAUUUUCCUCCACCCCCCGACAUUACAUUAUAUUUCUGUAUGAAUUCUAACUCUCCUGCUAUCUAUUUUAUCUUUUGGUUUAUUUAAUUUAUCUGGUAUUAUGGUCAGUUUUUCUAUACUUGAAGUACUGUGAAACAAGCUAUCCUGUAGCGAAUUCCAUAUUCAUCUCUAGUGCAGCCAGUGGCAAACUUUACAAGAAAAGAAAGUGGAGCAAUGAAGAUAAUUUUAAAAAGCAAAAAUUAGGAUCACAUUACAAUAAAUGCAAACAGACAGUAGAUUCGUGCAGACAAGUGUUUUUGUUUCAAGCAAAUUGUUUGCACAAUAAAUUGGCAGUGAAGUUUAUCGGAGAGAAUACAUCGGCGAUUUGGCUUUCUUUACGAAGUAAAAAAACGCAUCUCUCCAUUACUGAGAGGAACUGGGGAAGAAAGCUCAUAUGCUAAAACCAAACUUAUAAACCCAAACUCAAUAACUAGUUUGCUUUUAAUAACACUCAAAGGGAUUCCAUCAUAUUGCAAUUGCCUACAGCUUUGAAGGAAACAACUGAGAGCAGAGCGUUCAGUUUCUCUUUGAAGUUUCAUAAGUUUCCCAUUGACAAUCCAAUCAAGGAGCACCAGGUUGUUCCUAAGGGUUUAUAUGUUACUGUCGGGGAUAAACAUUUAGCACAGUGAUUGCAGGGAAAUAGAUUCUCUACUUCAUUAGCCAUUUGAGCAGCAUUGUAUCACCUUGAAAAUGUAACCUUAUGUUCUACUCAACUCCUGCGGCUGUGCUGUGAAGGGCAUGGCCUAAUUUGGCCCUCUUAAUAAAUGAAACAUGAGCAUUGCCAUUAAUUUGUUUUUACUAGAAAUGUCUUAGCACACCAAAAAGAAAUAGCUCUAGUAACAAACAUGGCUAACUAACUGACAGAUCUGACACUUUUUGCAUUAUCCAGAACAAGAAGAUAAGAAUUAAAGGCAACUAGAUUAUGCACAUUGACUGAUAUUCUUAAUCCUGGAAUCAGGUCUUUAGUAGGCUUGCUAGCAGUCAUUGCAGAAGUUUCAAAUUAAAGUUUAUUCAUUUCUUUAACUUCACCUAAAGAUGAGGUGAAUGUUCAGCAAACAAGACUGUUGUAUGGUCCAGAGGGCAGUCUGUGCCAGUCCACACACAAAAGACCAGGUGACUCAAAAAGAGAACAGUAUUGAUAUCCAUGGCCGGAUAUGAAUUGCAAUAAGACAAUUUUCCAACAAAUUCUUUCCUUCCCAGUGUAAAACACAUUGAAAUGGAAGCCCCUGAAAAGAAGGUUAGGUGUCUCAAAUACUUUGGAGUGACCUGCGUGUUGAAAACAUGGGUGUUGGAACUACACAUUUGUUGUGUUAUGUCACUGAUGCCUGAGCUCCCAGUGUUUGUGUUUCUAACAACAGAUCUCACAAUGUGAGAAAUCAGGCUCCCUGCAUGAGAGGGUAUAAAGCACAUGAUGGAUCCCCUGCUGGGAGCGGGGCAAGAAUGCUGCCUGCAAAGCAGCUGUUUCAAGUAAAAGUCCAUAGGUGAAAUUCAUCUCUGUGCAGUCUCAUGGAACAUAAGUUGUCCAUAGGUUUUGGGUUGACCCUCUGCACAGGAGGUGAAUUUCGCUGUACACAUACAGUAAAUCUAGUUACAGAAAAGCCUAUGAGCAUACCUGCAAACUGCAUGAAAUUACAGUAGGACUAAAAAGGAAAAGAAACCCCUAAAAUCUAUGUGCAGUAGAACAGCUACCAUAGGUUCAUUGUUCACCUUGUAAACUUACAUGAGUUACCACAACCUGUCACUUUUGCAUUGACAGACUGUGUGUGUUGCACUUAACAAAAGCCCUUGCAGGAGUAAUAUAUUUUAAAUGAGCUCUUUUUCAGUUUCUUGAAAGAACCAAAGAUGCCCUUUACUUUUCUCUAAGUCUCUCUGAAAAUACCAGUUCAGAUGCAGUGAAAAAUGUCGCUGAGUUAAGCAAUGUAAAAUAUAGAAAUAGUUACACUUCAACAUGAUUUGGAGGCAAAUUAACUCUCACAGCUACAAUAAAGCACCCUAACUACUUUUAUAUUAAGUUGUUUUGGAACAGUUUGUAAUGCAAUUUCAAUCUCGCCAUAUUUCUUUUCACCAUAAACAUGACUGUUUGAUUUCCCCCUUCCCCCCCAGGGUUUUCACUAUAUAAAUCAUGGGCCAGAGAAUCAACUGAUGUAAAUUAUCAUCAGUCAAUGCAGUCAAUAGCACUAUUUCUAUUUUCCCUAUCUGAGAAUCUGGCCCUACAUUCUAAUCGAUGGGUAUCAGAUGAAAAACUUGACUCUGUCAGAAUGUCUUGAAUUAUAUCAGGCUCACAAGAUACCGGUAAUGAUGAUCCUAUUUCAGACCAAAAAAAGUCAGGAUUUUCAUACAAGUACCUUUCCCUUCCUGUUACAAAUGAAAGUUUUUUUUUUCUUUUCUUUUUACUGAUGUAAGCAGGCAUUUCCAGGAAGUAGGCUAACUAAGAAAAGAGAGUUUGCUAAACAGAACUAUUUCUGCACUUUAAUACUUGUGUGAAGGUUAAGACAGUUAGAAUGUAAUAACCAAAAGUUUUCUUUUAUUAUAAGCUCUUUAGAUAGAUAUGCACAAUGUUAUGUAUAAAUAUUGCCAAAGAACUGGAUCUGAAAAGAUGACGAUUGCUGUUAAUUAAGAGGGCUUUGUGCUGUAUUCUACUGGAGUCAGAAGGUAGUAAAUGCCUGUGAAAUGACUGGAAUUUUGUAACCUAAAUUAGCUGCCAACAUCUGCCAAAAUUAUGAGAGUACUGGGAAAUAUAAUACACUUUUUUUUUAAAGGUUGUAAUUUGUAGGCACUUAAUGGUAUCGCUGGAAGUCAUCCUGAUCAGGUGGAGAUGUAAUCUUAAUUGAUAAAUAGGUCUGCUGGUCUGAAAGUUUUUUACAGCUGAUGAAAUGCUAUUGCUACAUUACACAUUGAAAUGGAUAUGUUGAGGUUUGUUGUGUGUAUUAAAGAAUGCUGAUGCUAUAUAGGCUGCUGAAUGUGCCUUCCAGAUUGCUCAGAAACUAACACACACAAAUCUCCACCAAGCAGCAGCGAAGUUUGAAAGCCUUAUUGGAUGGUAAAAGCUAGCUGGUUACAUACCAGCAGGUCACUGUUAGGGUAGUGACAUAAAAAAAUUCAAACUACUUUCUGGCCAAGCAUGCUACUUGGUGAAACAUCUCAACGUAGAAUCGGAUAACUGUACUGUGAGAAACACACAUCACUGAUGAACUGCACGUGAAUUAGAGAUACAAUCAUAUAAAAACAAAUACAAUACACUAAGAUGCUGAAAUAUGACCAUUACAAGCCCUUGACUCACUGCAUAUCACAUUAGGACCACACACAAAAAAAAUCUCCUUGAUGCACCCAGCUUCUAAAACAUGCAUCUCCAACUAAGCCACCAGAUUAAGCCAGCUUUUGGAGAGGUGUGUACCUUCCAUUUCACUGCAUUGAAACCAUCAUCAGGAAAACAUAGUUCAACAGCAUGAUCUUGGGAGAAGCAGGAAUUUUGGUUCAAGCUGAUUGGAUUGUAGAUCUAGAGUUAAUCAGAACAAACACUCCAUUUGCCAUCUCGAGGAGAGAGGAAAGAAAUGCCAAUGGGAGAAGAUACAUUGGUCUCACCUCAAGAACAGCCAUCAUGUUCCAGAUGUCUGCUAAGCAUUCACUUUGCACAUGUCGGAAUAGACAGAGAUAAACCAUCCAGCUCAUUUCACUUAGACUUGAGCUGAGCGCCCAGGUGUGGAAAGCCACCAAAUCCCCCCGGCUAGUAUAGACUUCUAAAUUUAACUGCUGUUCGACUUCAAGCUUGAAAUGCACCAGUCCCAGUGAUUUCCUGUAUUGUGUCACUGUUGCACUGCUUUCUUGCUAUGGUGCUAUCCACUUUGUGAUUGAGCAAGAUGGCAGCAAGGAGGAAAACUGAUUAAAUGAAAAUCCUUUAGGUUAAUAGUCUUUGGCACUCUGUCCUCAAUGCACAAAGAGAAAUGCUGGCUGACAGUACCUUCACCUUAGUUACAUGAUGGGAUCCAACAAAAAAUCUGCGUAUGAGGUUCAACAUCCGAUGUAUCUGUUUCCGUACUUGGUUUACCAAGUUCAGCAGGGCAAUGAGACACAUGUCAGCUUUGCUGGAAGUAGCUGAUCCAAUGAGUGCAGUAGCUAGGUAAUUAAGUACCAUGGUUUGCAGGUGAUCUGUUUUCAGAACAUGAUUAAUUAUGUUCAAUGAGUGACACAGCUCUCUCGAUAUAAACUAUUAAGUUCAUCAGGCGGUGUAUCUGUUUCAGUGAAAUAUAUGUCUGAGCAGUAAUGUUCUAUACACCUUUCCAUUAUUAAUGUAUUCAUUUCAAUGUGCGAUAUUUUGUAGCCCCAGACUUCUGGAAUUUGGGACGUGGAGCUUCUUCUGAUUGGCAACAACCCGCCCUUGCAAACCUGGGUGCGGAAGUUAGGGGCCUGACUUCAUACUUCACCACUUAAAUAGGUGACCCAGUUUUUCAGAGGUGCUGAGCAUCUGCAACUCCCCUUGACAGCACUGAGAUUUGUGGGUGCUCAGAACCUCUGGAAACAGGUCACUUCUAGUUAAAUGCCUGAACGCAGAGUUAGGAGCCUAACUUGAAGUGCCCAGGUCUGACCAUUGAGGCUGAGGUGCACCUCCACAACUAUGACCCUACGUGGCAGAUGGCAGUCUUGGCUCCAAAGAGACCCAAACAUAGAGAAAGGAAGUAAAAAUGCAAGAGUCGGACAAGCCUAUCACUUCCUUCACCAAGCAUAGCGGUUGGUGGAAGUCUUGAGUUGUACCUACCUACACGUCAGCUGACUGAGCAUGUGUAAUGAGUAACUUGGGUUAGAGCGAUCUUAAAGAAUAUUCCAGUUACAAACAGUGUUCUGUAUUUUCUUCUCCCUUUCCCCUCCCCCCUACCCACAGUGAGUAGUAUUUAUGCCUCAGUUUCCACUGUGAAGAUUGGCACUUUGCCAUGUGGGUAAGGCAGAAUCUUCCCUUUAAUUCUUACUUCCCUAAAGUAUUCACCCCUACAGGUUAUAUUAUGCAGCCAGGUCUCUUUGCCUGUGUUGGACCUGCAAAGAGCCUGUGCAGAAAUGACAGAUUACAAUUCCCCACCCCCUUCUGGGAGAUACAGGGUAAUGGCAUACAGGUAAGCCUCAUGGAGCACCCAGAACCUAAAAACAGAGGAGCUUUAAUUCUCUGUUCCCUGAGAUAUUCAGAACUGAUUCUUAAAUCCUGUAUCCUACUUCCAUACAAGCUAAUGCUAGAAAAGCUGCUGAGCUCAGACAAUCUGUUACAUGCCAGGAGAUUGCUAGCGGUGGUUUUAUUUUUCGACAUGUCACUUGGAAUGCAGCCAGUUAAAUUUCUGUACUUGGUGACCAAAAGGUUUCCUUGACAGCUCGGCGAGGAGCUAGUCUAUAAAUAUUUUAAGUGGCAAAACACAAGGGGUUUGUAUUUAUAGAGAUGGAGCCCAUAGAUAUUGCACUUGCUAAGUAGGAUUUUAAACGCAUGCAUAUUAACUAGUGUUGAUUACAGUGAAUGAUUUUCUUUUGAUAAAAGAGUUGCUUCUUGGGGAAAACAAUUCCUUUAUUGUAUAAGGAACUCUGUUGUAUUUUGAAACAUACAAAUAAAAAGAGAAAUAUACUGUUCAUAUAUUUCGAUGCUGA